This 785-nucleotide ribosomal RNA is filed under the name uncultured archaeon. RNAcentral's name for it is "bacterial SSU rRNA". It matches the Rfam family "Archaeal small subunit ribosomal RNA", at positions 1 to 763 of the family's 1478-position model. The record is from RNAcentral.
CUUCGUUGGAUCCUGCCAGACCCCACUGCUAUCGGGAUAGGACUAAGACAUGCUAGUUGAGCGCUUCCAGCCAAUACGGGAGCGCAGCGCACAGCUCAGUAACACGUGGCUAAUCUGCCCUUGGGACCAGAACACCCCCGGGAAACUGGGGCUAAUUCUCGAUAGGUGAAGAACUCUGGAAUGAGUAUUUGCCAAAAAGACGUUUACGUUAUGCUCGUAGGCGUCGCCCAAGGAUGAGGCCGCGACCGAUCAGGUUGUUGGUGAGGUAAUGGCUCACCAAGCCUUUUACCGGUGCGGGCCGUGAGAGCGGGAGCCCGGAGAUGGGCACUGAGACAACGGCCCAGGCCCUACGGGGCGCAGCAGUCGCGAAAACUUUGCAAUACACGAAAGUGUGACAGGGCUAUCCCGAGUGCCAUCCGCUGAGGAAGGCUUUUACCCAGUCUAGAACGCUGGGGGAAUAAGGAGAGGGCAAGUCUGGUGUCAGCCGCCGCGGUAAUACCAGCUCUCCGAGUGGUGUGGAUGUUUAUUGGGCCUAAAGCAUCCGUAGCUGGCUGAGUUAGUCCUUUGUUAAAUCCACCGAAUUAAUCGUUGGAUUGCGGGGGAUACUGCUCGGCUAGGGGACGAGAGAGGCAGACGGUAUUUCUGGGGUAGGGGUGAAAUCCUAUAAUCCCAGGAGGACCACCAGUGGCGAAGGCUGUCUGCUAGAACGCGCCCGACGGUGAGGGAUGAAAGCUGGGGGAGCGAACCCGGAUUAGAUACCCGGGUAGUCCCAGCUGUAACGAUGC